GGGGCGGUGUGGCAGGUCAACAGAAUGGGCUGUGAAUCCUACGGCUCUGAAUCCUCCGGGUCCAGCGAGGGAAGCCAGAGGAGCGGCCUCUCCUCGGGAUUAGCAGAGUCCCGGAUUGUCGUCCCGGGACGGACCGGGACACCGGACGCUUGGCGGGGAGGGGCCCGCCGCGGCCCACGUGGACACUGCCAGUGAGCGGUUAACACUAAUCCUGCUGCUGAUUACCGCUGGCAUCAGGGAAAUAAACAGCAAUACAUAAACCUACGAGGCGGAGCACACAACAUCCCCACCUGCCGCCACCACCAACCGAACUCACAAUGCCCUCCAUCCGUCUUUCCCUCUUUAUCCUGGGUUUGGUUGUGGCUUGUGUCUCAGGUGAAAAAUCAAAUACCACUUCAAACCCCACAAAUUCAAACUCCAAAAUUUCAAACUCCGAAACUUCAAACUCCGAAACUUCAAAUGUAAAUGGCUCCACUACCGCCACUCAAACAUCCCUCAACGCCAUCACCACCACCGGAACCACCACCAAUGCCACCGAUGCCUCAAGCUACACACCGAGCAGCAGCGCCAUCUCGCCCUCGACAGCAACGCAGACCGGAUUCUCCAGUUCAAGUGGGGGAAGUGUCAAAACAACAAGCGCACCUAGAACCACGGACAAAAUGACAACAACUACCACCAAAGUACACAAAAAGGAGACAACCACCACUGCUAAGCCAGCUGAGACGGCGUCAGUGGACACCACCGGCAUUAUCAUCCUAGUUGUGAUCGGCGUCGUAAUCCUUGGAUUUGGAGUUUGCUGCUACUUACAGCGGAAUAGAAGAAGGCGGUACUCUGUGGACUUCACCUCCAGACCGGAUGAAGCCAACAUCCCUCUCAGCACCAUGGAGCCCGAGUUACAGGUCGAUGCCGCGCCUCAGAACGGACUGCAAACCUUUGAAAGGGAAGAAGCUAAGACAGAGAUGCGAGAACCAGAGGCCAAGCCUGAAGCAAAGGAGGAGCAGAAAGGUGAGGCUGAGGAAUCUCACGUUGGUCCCGGGGCUGAGUCUGCUGCCCCGGCGGCGACCCCAGAGAGCCCCGCGGACGAACCCAAAGCGGCCGCCGUUGAGCAGAGUCCCCCCGCGCCCGUGGAGCCAAGUGUGGACGAGAAAACCGACGAAGAAGGCGACGUCUCCAACAAGACCUCUGUGGAGUCGCUGAAAGAGACCAACGAGAACAACAGCAAUAAUGCCGACUUCAAUGCGACUGGAGAUGUGAUCAGCAUCAACUUCUGGGACGUUCCUCUCAAUAGUCCGCUGUGAGACAUUUCACCUAUCUGUGCUGUUCUUCAGGAACUUGAUUGAAGGAGUGACCACGACGGAGAAGGGCACGUCUGCUCGUACCGUGUGAGAUAUUUAGCGGGCUGUUUUCUCCUUGUUAGAAACAAAUUUACUGCAGCAGAGCAGCUUUUUCCCAGUUAAACGUUAGCUGAACUCUGAGUUUUAAGCAUUUUAGUGAUUUAACGGUGACUAUUUAGUUGGUCUAUAUACUAAAUGUGAUUACGUUUGGUACUGCAGAACAGUAAUACACGUUGAAUUUCAUCUCCCAAGCCAUUCAGCUUUUAUAAACUUAUAUAAACAUAUUAUACGUGGUUUCUAACACACUGAGAUGUAGUUUUAAGCAGCCAUAAUUUACUCUUUUUGUGGAAAUAUAUUAAUAGAGUAAAAUACAUUUGUAUUAAUAUACUUUACAUUAAUCAAACCUAACUGAUAUUCUUUCAUCACAUAACGAUAAACACAUUUGUAAAUAAUGAUGUAUAAAUAAGCAAG
This is a long non-coding RNA of Gasterosteus aculeatus aculeatus (three-spined stickleback), 1805 nucleotides long. Lineage: Eukaryota; Metazoa; Chordata; Actinopteri; Perciformes; Gasterosteidae. The record is from Ensembl.